GACGAACGCUGGCGGCGUGCCUAAUACAUGCAAGUCGAGCGGACCAAAGGGAGCUUGCUCCUGGAGGUUAGCGGCGAACGGGUGAGUAACACGUGGGCAACCUGCCUGUAAGACUGGGAUAACAUCGAGAAAUCGGUGCUAAUACCGGAUAAUAAAAAGAACUGCAUGGUUCUUUUUGAAAGAUGGUUUCGGCUAUCACUUACAGAUGGGCCCGCGGCGCAUUAGCUAGUUGGUGAGGUAACGGCUCACCAAGGCAACGAUGCGUAGCCGACCUGAGAGGGUGAUCGGCCACACUGGGACUGAGACACGGCCCAGACUCCUACGGGAGGCAGCAGUAGGGAAUCUUCCGCAAUGGACGAAAGUCUGACGGAGCAACGCCGCGUGAGUGAUGAAGGUUUUCGGAUCGUAAAACUCUGUUGUUAGGGAAGAACAAGUGCCGUUCGAAAGGGCGGCACCUUGACGGUACCUAACGAGAAAGCCACGGCUAACUACGUGCCAGCAGCCGCGGU
RNAcentral lists this ribosomal RNA (509 nucleotides) under uncultured bacterium. RNAcentral describes it as "bacterial SSU rRNA". It matches the Rfam family "Bacterial small subunit ribosomal RNA", at positions 28 to 521 of the family's 1533-position model. The record is from RNAcentral.